UACGUAGGGAGCGAGCGUUGUCCGGAAUUACUGGGUGUAAAGGGUGCGUAGGCGGUAAGACAAGUCAGACGUGGAAGGCAUAGGCUUAACCUAUGGACUGCGUUUGAAACUGUAUUACUUGAGUGGAGUAGAGGCAAGCGGAAUUCCCAGUGUAGCGGUGAAAUGCGUAGAGAUUGGGAGGAACACCAGUGGCGAAGGCGGCUUGCUGGGCUCUAACUGACGCUGAGGCACGAAAGUAUGGGGAGCAAAC
Molecule: ribosomal RNA, 250 nt
Filed under: uncultured prokaryote
Description: partial 16S ribosomal RNA
Rfam family: Bacterial small subunit ribosomal RNA
Source: RNAcentral